GGCCUGGUGGUCUAGGGGAAUGAUACUCGAUGAGGGUGCGAUUGGUCCAGGGUUCAAAUCCCGGCCAGGCCC
This 72-nucleotide transfer RNA is filed under the name Rodentolepis nana. RNAcentral's name for it is "Hymenolepis nana tRNA". It matches the Rfam family "tRNA". From Rfam's summary of the family: Transfer RNA (tRNA) molecules are approximately 80 nucleotides in length. The record is from Rfam by way of RNAcentral. Lineage: Eukaryota; Metazoa; Platyhelminthes; Cestoda; Cyclophyllidea; Hymenolepididae.